GUCUCAUCUUACCACUUCUUUGAUUUUGUCACAGUAAAGAAAAUUUAGCAGGAUGCCUUUUUUUUUUUUUUUUUUUACAUUCUAAGCAGGGGGAAAAAAGUGCAAAAUACCACAGUAAGCGUGUGUUGUUAAGAGUGCCGCCCAUACAAACUGAAGCAAGACUGAUGACAGUGACGCAGAAACAGCGUCUGCUGCUCCACAGAAUUCUCCUGUUCUUGUUUCUUUGUUACUCUUGGAUGUUUCGGAUGAUGAAACAUGUUUAAAUAUUGCAUGAAGGUAAAAUGAUUAUAUACAAAUUGCAAUUUUCAAAUGCUGAUUUCAUUUACUGAUUACUGUCAUACUUGUAGAUUCGCAAAGUGCUUUAAGCCGAACCGGUCCAGCAACAUGAAACAGGCCAAAAGAUCAUAAUGGGGGGGGGCACAAACUUAAGUCACAAUGUAAUGAAAUUCAAUAACAGAUGAAAAAAAAAAUCACUUGCGUUUAUUUAUUUGGAAAGGGUUACAAAGCCAUUUGUAACCCCAAUUGCACCCCAGUGAGAGCCAUUAUCCACAACUGGAGGAAAACAGGGGUGAACUUUUCUAAUGGCCAUUCUAAAUUUAUUCCAAUGACUUAUCCAAGACAGCAUCUUACAGCACUGCAGGCCUCGUGUGUUCAUGAUCCAACAAUAAUAAAAUGGCAAAAAUGGUAUUCAUGGAAGAAUUCAGAGACCAAAAACCCACUGGUGACCAACAAUACUAUGGAGGCCCUGCUAACAUUUUCCAAAAAACCCCCCAAAACAUUCUUAAUGGUCUCCAAGACUGUUAGAAAAAUUAUUCUGUAAAGUGACAAGACUAAACUGAAACUGGGUGUAAAAUGACAGCAUUUAAGAAAGAGAGUGUCAUACUGCUUUUCAUAUAUACUGAUGGUAGGGUCAAUGUCUGGGGCUGCUUUGUUUGACUUGUUUUUGGUUUAACCUAUAAUUCUGCUCCGUACUAAAAAACCUUGAUAGAACUUAUCUGACCAUCAGUUUGU
This is a long non-coding RNA of Poecilia latipinna (sailfin molly), 1011 nucleotides long. RefSeq lists it as uncharacterized. Lineage: Eukaryota; Metazoa; Chordata; Actinopteri; Cyprinodontiformes; Poeciliidae. The transcript has 3 exons. The record is from RefSeq and is a predicted model, not a curated record.